UUAGAUGUUGCCUUCAUGGGGGCAACCAGCGGUGGCGGCGGAGCCAUCUUCAGAUCGAUUGAAUUGGUCAGAGAUUUAAGAGAUCACCACACACACAAUGGAUCUGCCGGCCGCACCAACAUUCCAGACGCUAGAUGCUAGACGCUGGACGGCUUACACGAGGAUCUCCGGCGGUUGAUCUCUGCAUGUGUGUAACUGUAAUUUGGUUUGAUUCGAAACAGACUGUGGAGAGUGAACAGGAGAAGCUAGCACAGCAAAGGGGAGAGAAAAGUGAUACAAAUAAAACCAGCAUACUAUUUAUAGCAAAUGAUAACAAAUUCAACGCUUUCUUUGCUUGGGAGUUGCGGAAGUGCCUGCUGAUUCCUCCUUCCCCUCCCACAUGUGGUUAACGUUAGUUUGAAAAAAUAAUUUCAACCUGAAUUUGUUU
Pyrus x bretschneideri (Chinese white pear) is the source of this 427-nucleotide long non-coding RNA. RefSeq lists it as uncharacterized. Lineage: Eukaryota; Viridiplantae; Streptophyta; Magnoliopsida; Rosales; Rosaceae. The transcript has 2 exons. The record is from RefSeq and is a predicted model, not a curated record.